This 468-nucleotide ribosomal RNA is filed under the name uncultured bacterium. RNAcentral's name for it is "partial 16S ribosomal RNA". It matches the Rfam family "Bacterial small subunit ribosomal RNA", at positions 28 to 507 of the family's 1533-position model. The record is from RNAcentral.
GACGAACGCUGGCGGCGUGCUUAACACAUGCAAGUCGAACGGAAAGGCCCUGCUUUUGUGGGGUGCUCGAGUGGCGAACGGGUGAGUAACACGUGAGUAACCUGCCCUUGACUUUGGGAUAACUUCAGGAAACUGGGGCUAAUACCGGAUAGGAUCUCCUGCUGCAUGGUGGGGGUUGGAAAGUUUCGGCGGUUGGGGAUGGACUCGCGGCUUAUCAGCUUGUUGGUGGGGUAGUGGCUUACCAAGGCUUUGACGGGUAGCCGGCCUGAGAGGGUGACCGGCCACAUUGGGACUGAGAUACGGCCCAGACUCCUACGGGAGGCAGCAGUGGAGAAUAUUGCACAAUAAGCGGAAGCCUGAUGCAGCAACGCCGCGUGCGGGAUGACGGCCUUCGGGUUGUAAACCGCUUUCGCCUGUGACGAAGCGUGAGUGACGGUAAUGGGUAAAGAAGCACCGGCUAACUACGUG